CCUACGGGGAGCAGCAGUGAGGAAUAUUGGUCAAUGGGCGCGAGCCUGAACCAGCCAAGUAGUGUGAAGGAUGACUGCCCUACGGGUUGUAAACUUCUUUUAUAAAGGAAUAAAGUGAGGCACGUGUGCCUUCUUGUAUGUACCAUAUGAAUAAGGAUCGGCUAACUCCGUGCCAGCAGCCGCGGUAAUACGGAGGAACCGAGCGUUAUCCGGAUUUAUUGGGUUUAAAGGGAGCGUAGGUGGAUUGUUAAGUCAGUUGUGAAAGUUUGCGGCUCAACCGUAAAAUUGCAGUUGAAACUGGCAGUCUUGAGUACAGUAGAGGUGGGCGGAAUUCGUGGUGUAGCGGUGAAAUGCUUAGAUAUCACGAAGAACUCCGAUUGCGAAGGCAGCUCACUGGACUGCAACUGACACUGAGGCUCGAAAGUGUGGGUAUCAAACAGGAUUAGAUACCCCUGUAGUC
RNAcentral lists this ribosomal RNA (460 nucleotides) under uncultured bacterium. Its description in RNAcentral is "partial 16S ribosomal RNA". It matches the Rfam family "Bacterial small subunit ribosomal RNA", at positions 338 to 795 of the family's 1533-position model. The record is from RNAcentral.